AGUGAACGCUGGCGGUAGGCCUAACACAUGCAAGUCGAACGGCAGCACAGUAAGAGCUUGCUCUUACGGGUGGCGAGUGGCGGACGGGUGAGGAAUACAUCGGAAUCUACUUUCUCGUGGGGGAUAACGUAGGGAAACUUACGCUAAUACCGCAUACGACCUACGGGUGAAAGCAGUGGAUCUUCGGACCUUUCGCGAUUGAAUGAGCCGAUGUCGGAUUAGCUAGUUGGCUGGGUAAAGGCCCACCAAGGCGACGAUCCGUAGCUGGUCUGAGAGGAUGAUCAGCCACACUGGAACUUAGACACGGUCCAGACUCCUACGGGAGGCAGCAGUGGGGAAUCUUGGACAAUGGGCGCAAGCCUGAUCCAGCCAUACCGCGUGGGUGAAGAAGGCCUUCGGGUUGUAAAGCCCUCUUGUUGGGAAAGAAAAGCAGCAGGUUAAUACCCCGCUGUUCUGACGGUACCUAAAGAAUAAGCACCGGCUAACUUCGUG
RNAcentral lists this ribosomal RNA (492 nucleotides) under uncultured bacterium. RNAcentral describes it as "partial 16S ribosomal RNA". It matches the Rfam family "Bacterial small subunit ribosomal RNA", at positions 29 to 507 of the family's 1533-position model. The record is from RNAcentral.